AGAUAUAGAUGGUACAGUUUUGCUGGACAUAGAUGACUAUACAUUAAAGGAGCUUAUUCCCAUUAUUAAAUUAAGAAUAACAUUUAAAAAAGAAUGGCAAAGAACUCAUAUUGCCAAAUUUUCUGAUGAAUGCAAUUUCCAGCAAAGAAUUAAACUUCGAUGUUCCUGGAAAAUCAAAAUUGAAGACCUCCUUUUUGGAUGUAUUGUUUGAUGUUAUAAAAUCCAGAUAUGGUCUGUAUCCAAGUAGUUCACAAUUGUAUGAAUUAGCACAUGAAGUGAUUCUAUGUUUUCCAAAUGUCAAGCCAACACAUGGAAAUGGCUCAGGAAGCUUAGCAUUUUUGUUUACACUUUAAUUUCAAAAUUGUGUCAAUAACAAAUUUUUAUUGUUUUUAGUUAAUUACAAUUAGCAAACAAAAUGUGUGUGGGUGUAUAUAAAUACACCCAAAAUGUGUGUUUAUAAAUAUACACUCAAAAUGUGUGUGUAUAUAUA
Molecule: non-coding RNA, 490 nt
Organism: Hydra vulgaris (swiftwater hydra)
Lineage: Eukaryota; Metazoa; Cnidaria; Hydrozoa; Anthoathecata; Hydridae
Source: RefSeq, a predicted model, not a curated record